UACGUACCGUCCAAACGUUAUUCGGAAUUACUGGGCUUAAAGGGUGCGUAGGCGGUCCAGAAAGUUGGGUGUGAAAGCCCUCGGCUCAACCGAGGAAUUGCGCCCAAAACUACUGGACUUGAGGGAGACAGAGGUAAGCGGAACUUAAGGUGGAGCGGUGAAAUGCGUUGAUAUCUUAAGGAACACCAGGAGCGAAAGCGGCUUACUGGGUCUCUUCUGACGCUGAGGCACGAAAGCUAGGGGAGCGAACGGG
This 253-nucleotide ribosomal RNA is filed under the name uncultured bacterium. Its description in RNAcentral is "partial 16S ribosomal RNA". It matches the Rfam family "Bacterial small subunit ribosomal RNA", at positions 524 to 776 of the family's 1533-position model. The record is from RNAcentral.